Long non-coding RNA from Pteropus alecto (black flying fox), 1901 nucleotides. RefSeq lists it as uncharacterized. NCBI's taxonomy places the organism in Eukaryota, Metazoa, Chordata, Mammalia, Chiroptera, Pteropodidae. The record is from RefSeq and is a predicted model, not a curated record. The transcript is spliced from 5 exons.
UUUAGCCGCGCUCGGGUAAAAAUGGAGCCGGCGUCGCGCGGGUUCCCGAGGCCGUGCGCGCCCCCCUUGCGAGAACGGGGGCCGGGGGCGCGCGCCUGAGUCACCGCCUCCCGCGGCCCCGCUGCGCCGCGAGGAGCACGGACCGCUGGCUCCGGACACCCCGCAUCCGCUCGAACCUUCUGGGUCCCUGGGCACCUGGAAACCGGCAGGCUCAGAAUAUUCCAGGAACAUCGCGACGCGUCCACCCGGCCUCCAGCGGCUGACGGCGGACUUUGGGGCAGAGGCGCCCCCUGGUGGUCCUACCGGGGAUUGCAGGCAGGAGCUGGCCAGGAUGAGUCCAGCCAUUCUCCUCUCUACAAACCACCCCCCCACACACCUAUUUCUAAAUGAGGAAACUGAGGCAGGGAGAGGAACUGAUUGGGACCUUGCAGCCUGAAUUGCAAGGUACGGUCGUUCAGCUUCAGCCUGGACACCUCGACACCUCCCUUAGUGGCGAACUCACUACCUGUCAGACAAACCUGGAGACAGAAGCCUGGAGAGGACCCAGUUGAGGACUGAGCUUGAAGACUGUAGAUUACAUGAGUGUCCACUGCAUAAUUGUUCAGCUUCAGAUUGUUCCAGAACACCACAAGAAAUCCCAAGGCUCAGUGGCCCCAGAACAAAUGCCCCUCCUCCCCGACACCUGAUGUCCUCCCAGAUGGAAAAUACGCUGAUGGCGAAUUCCAGGGACCAGGGCUGUCCACGAGAAAUAUGAUCUGAAGAAUGAAAAACUCCUUUCAAAUCUCCCCACCGUCAAAGUGGAGCUGUCCAGGGCAGAUCUGUGUAGUGGGUUGAACGGUGUCCGCCUCCCCUCCCAAGAUAUGUCCACCUGACACCUGUGAAUGUGAGCUGGUUUGGAAAAAGGGUGAUUAAGGUACGGACUUUGAGAUGAGAUCACUCUAGAUUAUCCAAAUGGGUCCUAAACCCAACGGCAAGUGUCUUUAUAAGAGACAGGAGGAGAAGACACAGACGCACAGAGAAGCCAUGUGACGAUGGAGGCAGAGACGGGAGCGGUGUAGCCACAAGCCCAGGAUCGGCCGGAGCCACCAGAAGCUGGGAGCGGCGAGGAUCCUCCCCUAGAAUCUUCCGACGGAGUGUGGCCCUGCUGACACCUUGAUUUCGGAUUUCCGGCCCCCAGAACCGUGAGAGAAGAAAUUUCUUUUGUUUUAACCAACCAAGUUUGUGGUGACUUGUUACGGCAGCCACAGGAAAUGAAUAUAAUAAUCUGUCUGGGGACCCGUUUCUUCCUCCCUGAAAGCAGUUUCUGUGGCUUUUAGAUGCCAUCUCACAGGAGGGAACUAAGGCCUGGAAAGAGGGCGGAGCCGGAACCAGACCUCAGGCCCCCAGAACCUCAUCCAAGUUCAGGGGUCACUGUGGAAACUUGCAGGGCAUUUCGCCUGUUAGAAAAAUGUAGAACGCUUAUUGAGUUUUCUUUUAAGGCAGUGGUGGAGAACACAAACUUUGGUCGGAGUCCUGGUUCGGUUGCUCACUUGCUGUGUGGCCUUGGGCUAGAGGCUAACCUCUCUGUGCCUCCGUUUCCUUCUAUAAAAUGGGGAUAAUGAGAUAAGUCAUCUCAGAAGGUUGUGAUGUGGAGUAUAUGAGAAUCCAUAGACUUUACUGGGAGUCUUUGCAAAUGCUAUAAGAUGAGAAAAAUAAAUAAGGUAUAAAAAUUGGAAGGCGAGAGAUAAAACUACCGUUUGGGUCAUUUUCCAGGAAAAACUAAGAGAAUCAACAGACUAUUUUAAUAUGAGAAUUUGCCCAGAUUGCCUGUUAAAAGGUCAACCAACCAUACUUAAUAGCAUCCAUCAACUAGAAAUUAUAAGAGAAAUAAGAUAAAGGAUUAAUAAAUUAGAAAAAUGUCA